Molecule: ribosomal RNA, 506 nt
Filed under: uncultured bacterium
Lineage: Bacteria
Description: bacterial SSU rRNA
Rfam family: Bacterial small subunit ribosomal RNA
Source: RNAcentral
CGCUGGCGGCGUGCCUAACACAUGCAAGUCGAACGGGGAUUUGUUUCGGCAGAAUCCUAGUGGCGAACGGGUGAGUAACGCGUAGGCAACCUGCCCCCCGGAUUGGGACAACACCCCGAAAGGGGUGCUAAUACCGGAUACGAAGAUAAUACCGCAUGGUGUUAUUUUGAAAGAUGGCCUCUAUUUAUAAGCUAUCGCCGGGGGAUGGGCCUGCGUCCGAUUAGCUGGUUGGUGGGGUAACGGCCUACCAAGGCGACGAUCGGUAGCCGGUCUGAGAGGAUGAACGGCCACAUUGGGACUGAGACACGGCCCAGACUCCUACGGGAGGCAGCAGUGGGGAAUCUUCCGCAAUGGGCGAAAGCCUGACGGAGCAACGCCGCGUGGGUGAGGAAGUUCUUCGGAACGUAAAGCCCUGUUGUACAUGACGAACGUGCUUUCUAUCAACAACGGGAAGCAAUGACGGUAGUGUACGAGGAAGCCACGGCUAACUACGUGCCAGCAGCCGC